Molecule: ribosomal RNA, 253 nt
Filed under: uncultured bacterium
Lineage: Bacteria
Description: partial 16S ribosomal RNA
Rfam family: Bacterial small subunit ribosomal RNA
Source: RNAcentral
UACAGAGGGUGCAAGCGUUAAUCGGAAUUACUGGGCGUAAAGGGCUCGUAGGCGGCCAACUAAGUCAGACGUGAAAUCCCUCGGCUUAACCGGGGAACUGCGUCUGAUACUGGAUGGCUUGAAUCCGGGAGAGGGAAGCGGAAUUUCCGGUGUAGCGGUGAAAUGCGUAGAUAUCGGAAGGAACAUCAGUGGCGAAAGCGGCUUCCUGGACCAGUACCGACGUUCAGGCACGAAAGCGUGGGGAGCAAACAGG